Molecule: long non-coding RNA, 852 nt
Filed under: Mytilus galloprovincialis (Mediterranean mussel)
Lineage: Eukaryota; Metazoa; Mollusca; Bivalvia; Mytilida; Mytilidae
Source: RNAcentral
AUUAGAUUGAUGAUAUUUGACAUUGAAAUAAACUGAGAAUCCGAAAAACAGUUUCAAUGAAACGAACAAACUCUUUGCAUUCCUUGAAGGUAAAAACAAUGAAAACACUGGUAUUGCUACUUUUAAAAGUGAGGGUUUACGCUAUAGAUACAAGACACUUAAAAAGCAAAUAUCCUACUCGAACAAUUUAAAUCAGCAUUUAUACACCAACAAAGUUCAUCAACAGAUCCAACGUGGGACUACAAAGAUAUCAUCAGAGAAGGCAUAUAAUUAAUUAAAAAAUAUAAAUCAUAAGAAAGCAACAUGUCCAGAUACCAUGACUGGAAUAGUACUAACAGAAAACGUUACGACAUAGAUGUAUGAAGAUGUGGUAUGAGUGCCAAUGAGACAAAUCUCCAUCAAAGUCAUAAUUUGUAAAAGUAAACCAUUAUAGGUCAAAGUAUGGUCUUCAAAACGAAACCUUGGCUCAAAACGAACUGCAAGCUAUAGACGGCCCCAAAAAUGACUAGUGUAAAACCAUUCGAACGGGAUUUAAGACCUGCUCACUUUAUUUUUUACGAAAUCAAUAGAAACAGAAAAAGAACCUCCUGUAUGAUUGGAAUCACGCAACCAUGGCAACGAAACGCCUGUUUUUUAAAAAGGAGACAAGCAUCAUCCUGAGAACUAUAGACCAAUCUCAUUAACAUGUAUUUCCUGCAAUUACUAGAACAGAUACUUGCAAGCAACAUGACGCAACACCGUGAAUCAAAAACAUACUUUACGACUUAAAAAACGGACAAACAGAUCUUGCAAAUCCCAUGUAUUUUCAUUUAUUCGCCAGCUAUAAUUAAAUAACGAUAAAAAAUACAAACC